CAGAGCACAGUAGUAUUCUAGUCUCAACAGUCAGAGUUAGAAGUGAGUCCUCAUCUUUCGAGGACAUGAUCAUUAUUUUAAUAUCUCAUUAAUUAAUUUAUUAGUUGGAGUUAAUUGGGGACAUGUCCCAUCAACUCCUUAUUCAGACCGUCAUGUUUAGAGGCUUUUCAGACUACAGUAUGUUCAGAUAAUCUAUUUUAGUUUUGUUUGGGUAUUUCAU
This 220-nucleotide long non-coding RNA is filed under the name Capsicum annuum. Its description in RNAcentral is "long non-coding RNA (CANN_LNC009519)". The record is from RNAcentral. Lineage: Eukaryota; Viridiplantae; Streptophyta; Magnoliopsida; Solanales; Solanaceae.